CUGCUUGUGACCAGGAUGAACGAAGCGCCGAUAAAUUAUACAUUUGAGUCGUGUCUCCAAAUUGCUCUGCAAUUAUUGAGCAACAAGGUUCAGUUGCCUUCAAGCACCACCUCACAUCUGACCACUGCAAAACACACUGAAGUGCUCACGUGGCUCCCCGAGCACAGGAGAACAAUCAGCCCAUUAAAAACAGCAAAUUAACGAACACAAGAGUUCCAUUAGGAGGAGAAGGCGACUGAACUAUCCAAUUUCACCACAUCAUUAGCAUUUCUUAUCAGAGAGACAGAGGAAGAAUAGGUCUUUAAAAUACAGAAGGACAGGAUGGAGUCUAGUGUCCAAAAAGGGGCCAGACGAUCUGCCUGGGAGACACCAGCGCACGGAGCGCAGGAGCCAGGGCACGGUGUGCAGUAUCCAGUGCACAGCGUGCAGGAUCCAGCGCACUGUGUGCAGGAUCCAGCGCACGCUGUGCAAUAUCCAGUGCAUGCUGGGCAGGAUGCAGUGCAUCACGUGCAGUAUGCAGUGCACGCUGUGCAGCAUCCAGGGCACAGUGUGCAGGAUGCAGCGCACGCUGUGCAAUAUCCAGUGCAUGCUGGGCAGGAUGCAGUGCAUCACGUGCAGUAUCCAGUGCACGCUGUGCAGCAUCCAGAGCACAGCGUGCAGGAUCCAGCGCACAGUGUGCAAUAUCCAGUGCAUGCUGGGCAGGAUGCAAUGCGUCACGUGCACUAUCCAGUGCACGCUGCGCAGGAUGCAGUGCAUCAUGCACAAUACCCAGUACAUAUUGUGCAAUAUCCAAUGCACGCUGUGCUCCCUGGACCUGGUGCCACACCAAAGCCCCACAGUUUGGUGAGGGACCAAGUCCCUUCUCAGAAAGCCCCGCGUCCCUCCACUCUCCCCCAGCCAGCCCUCAGCUCCCUGGGCGCCGGUGACNNNNNNNNNNNNNNNNNNNNCCAAUUUCGCGCCCUCGAGCCUCCCCGGCGCUGGCAGCGCGUGGCCCUGCCCUGCUCCGGGCAGCGGACGAUGCACCGGUCCCGCUCUGCAGAGCUGCCGGCCGGGCAUGCACUGAAACACAGGGGUAUCGGUGCCCUCGCUUCACACCCGCGAGCCCUUCAGCGUUCCCUCUCUCCUGCCUUUGGAAGGGACCCGCGGGAGCGUACGCCCGUGGGGGCUCGGCCUUGCCCCCGUGCAGCAGCUGGGCAACUCGGGCUCCCAGGUAAAUCUUCCAUCUUCUGCACUUCCCACGAAAAUGUAUUCUUACCCCUUCUCGCUCUUCGAAACAGAGCCAGAAAAUGAGGUGCGUUUGAUUAAAUUUAAAUAGCAUUACUGCUAGGAAAGAAACUCAGCAAAACUGGGCCAUUAAAAAUUAAGGUUUCCGCUCAGGCGCAGCGGGGCAGGCUGCAGAGCAGCCGAUGCUCGCUCCCUCGC
This 1422-nucleotide long non-coding RNA is filed under the name Struthio camelus australis. RNAcentral's name for it is "lncRNA (ENSSCUG00000001538.1)". The record is from RNAcentral. Lineage: Eukaryota; Metazoa; Chordata; Aves; Struthioniformes; Struthionidae.